Molecule: small RNA, 727 nt
Filed under: Pongo abelii (Sumatran orangutan)
Lineage: Eukaryota; Metazoa; Chordata; Mammalia; Primates; Hominidae
Description: processed transcript
Source: RNAcentral
AGAGGUAGCUUCUUUCCCCACCACUUGGUGUGAUGUUUUACAGUUUACAAAGCAUUUAUAUCCACAGAUGCCUCAUUUGAUCCUUACUGCGACCUUGUGAGGUUUGGUCCUUGUUUUUCAAGGUGGCUGGGAUGAGCGCUUGGGCGCCUCAGGUGCCUGUAUAACCCACUCCUCCCUACCAAAGAGGGCAUCUUCCUACAAAUGAGGACCCUGGAGCACUGACCCUGCGUAUCCCGCUCAAGACCAUGCAACUGGUUAGUGUUGGAGCUGGGGGUGUUUGAUUCCAGAUUGGAAGCCCUUACGUACUAUCCCAGCCUUCGGAUGCUGACUGGGACGACUUGUGGGACCAGUUUGAUGAGCGGCGGUAUCUGAAUGCCAAAAAGUGGCGCGUUGGUGACGACCCCUAUAAGCUGUAUGCUUUCAACCAGCGGGAGAGUGAGCGGAUCUCCAGCAAUCGGGCCGUCCCGGACACUCGCCAUCUGAGAUGUACGCUGCUGGUGUAUUGCACGGACCUUCCACCCACUAGCAUCAUCAUCACCUUCCACAACGAGGCCCGCUCCACGCUGCUCAGGACCAUCCGCAGCGUAUUAAACCGCACCCCUACUCAUCUGAUCCGGGAAAUCAUAUUAGUGGAUGACUUCAGCAAUGACCCUGAUGACUGUAAACAGCUCAUCAAGUUGCCCAAGGUGAAAUGCUUGCGCAAUAAUGAACGGCAAGGUCUGGUCCG